GUACUGCAAUAAAGCAGAAAUAAAUUAUUUUCAGGGAACACAACUUUGAAAAAAAACGCUGUUCUCUAUCCCUUCUGUAAUUGCAUAAUUUUAAGUCUGGAAUGGCAUGUGUAUUUAUCAGAUACCUCAAUAAAGAUUUUGAAGAGAAAGGAAACAUGGAACUAACCUUUAACUGAGAUCCAGGAACUGUGACUUUUAGAGGUAUCACCUCAUGUAAUCCUCCUAAAACCAUGACUCAGUAUUAUUUUUAUUUGUAGAUGAAGAAACAGGUUCAGAGAGAUGCCUCACCCAGGUUGUAACGGUGACCCAAGCCUGACCCCAGAAUCACCUACCAUGUGCCUUACAUCUUGACUCUGAACCCCAGAAUCAACAAGGUAGCUGUCAGCAUAUAAAGCUUAGCCAACACCGAAAUUAACGGUAGGCAAUUUAAGGCUGAGCAAGGAACUAGCUCCACUUCAGAGAGCAUUUGUUAAACUAAAACUAAAACAUGAAAAUAUGACUUUUUAAAAAUAUCAACACAUUUUGUAAUGUUUUAUCCAUCCUAACAUCAAGUAUUUUAUUUAUUCAUUUAAUAAAUGAACUAUUUUCUGUGCCCUGUUUUUCUAGGCACAUGGGUUUAAAGAGAGGUCUUAUACUAUGGUGCUUAGCCACAUGUGCACAGAUGGCUCUCAAGGAAAGACGCUCAAGCCUAGAUCCGGAAUGAUGUAAAGGCAGUUUGUCUGGCAAAGGGCAAUUCGGAUGGAUGACACCCUUGAGGCAGGAGCCUGCCUGCCAGUAUUAGAAGUUAGGGUUAGGGUUAGCAAGUCUUCCAGGGUGGUGGAAAGUACAGGAGCUCAUAGUUAAAAAUGUAGUCAUUUAUGCAGAACAACAUAUUUACACACUAUCACUUGUUCUAUGCAUACACAAUCUUGCACAAACACAUCCUACACGAAUGAGAUAUUAAACACACUGCUUUCAUUUCAGGAAGAGAAAGUGGCUCUGGAGAAAGAAGACCAGGCUCCUGAGGCUCCAGGGCGAGGAGAAGGUCUCAGAGAUUCUAGAAACCAAAGUAGGCCAAGUUUGUAUGUUUCUACUUAUAUACAGAAUAAGCACUAAAUUUCCUUGCGUAUCUUGAAUUGGGGGUAUUUCUGAAGGAAAAUUCCUAGAAGUGAAUUACCUGGUUCAAAUUGAUUUAAUUUAAAAUCGACACAUUUCAUAAAACUCUCAAGAAGUACAUACCAAGCAACAGUGUAUAUACCAGGGACAAUUCCCCAACUCCCUCAUCAAUACUGAGCAUUAUUAAACUUCUAAGUAAAAGCUGGAGUUGCAGCAUUAUUUUAAGGUGCUUUUCUUUAAUUAGAGUGAACAUUUUCCCUUAUUUAUUAGCCGUGUGUAUUUCUUUUGUAGGAUGUGCCUUGUCCAUUUACUUAUCUGUAAAUAGUCUGCAUAAAAGAAAUUAUCCCUUUACUGCAAUCUCUAUCCCCGACAUGGGGCUCACACUCUUCCAACUGAGCCAGCCAGGCACCUCGGACUCCCUUUGAUUCUCUACCGGUUCCAUCUGGUAUGCUCCCCUCAACAUGAAAACUCAACAAGUGCUAAAGGAGAUUCUGUAACAUACACAAAAUUACUGGGCACACUAUUCGAUCAUCAGGAAGGUUUU
Mustela erminea (ermine) is the source of this 1639-nucleotide long non-coding RNA. RefSeq lists it as uncharacterized. The transcript is spliced from 3 exons. The record is from RefSeq and is a predicted model, not a curated record. Lineage: Eukaryota; Metazoa; Chordata; Mammalia; Carnivora; Mustelidae.